GCCUGACUGGCUCAGUGAGAAGAGCGUGUGACUAUUAAUCUCAGAGUCAUGGGUAUAAGUUCCAUGUUGGGUG
This 73-nucleotide transfer RNA is filed under the name Mustela putorius furo (domestic ferret). It matches the Rfam family "tRNA". Rfam says of the family: Transfer RNA (tRNA) molecules are approximately 80 nucleotides in length. Their secondary structure includes four short double-helical elements and three loops (D, anti-codon, and T loops). Lineage: Eukaryota; Metazoa; Chordata; Mammalia; Carnivora; Mustelidae. The record is from Rfam by way of RNAcentral.